RNAcentral lists this non-coding RNA (510 nucleotides) under Pongo abelii (Sumatran orangutan). The record is from RNAcentral. Lineage: Eukaryota; Metazoa; Chordata; Mammalia; Primates; Hominidae.
AGAGUUGACGUACAGAGACAGCGUUUGCAGUCAGUUUGCUAGAGGACCUACACCGGCUCCUCAAGUUCCGCUGCUUCCUCCUCCAAGCUGCUAGUAUUGAAAACACAGGAGUUUGGGGUCAUUCAUCAGGAGGAUUCUGCUCCAGUUUGCCCCCUUCUUGGUCCUAGGAUACUGGAGGGCCAGAGAAAGCAAGCUUGAAACAGAGAGGAAUGGGUCACUUUGGUGGAGGAAAUUGGGCCACCAAGCAGCCCUAUGGAGAGGCCAAUGUGGAGAGAAACUGAGGCCUUCCACCAAAAGCCAGCACCAACUUGCUAUCCAUGUGAGUGAACCAGCUUGCAGUACAGAGUGGUCAACUCCAGUCAAGCUUUCAGAUAACUACAGCCCUAGUUGACAUCUUGACUACAACUUCAAGAGAGACAUCAAGGCAGAACUGCUUCGCUAAACUGCUCUUGAAUUCUUGACCCACAGAAACUGAGAGAGAGAAUAAAUAUUUAUUGUUGUUUCAAGUAA